Molecule: ribosomal RNA, 441 nt
Filed under: uncultured bacterium
Lineage: Bacteria
Description: partial 16S ribosomal RNA
Rfam family: Bacterial small subunit ribosomal RNA
Source: RNAcentral
CCUACGGGUGGCAGCAGUGGGGAAUAUUGCACAAUGGGGGAAACCCUGAUGCAGCAACGCCGCGUGAGUGAGGAAGUAUUUCGGUAUGUAAAGCUCUAUCAGCAGGGAAUAGAGAAGAAUUUGCCGGUAAAAGAAGCCUAGGCUAACUAUGGGCCAGCAGCAGCGGGAAUACUUAGGGGGCAAGCGUGAUCCGGAUAUAAUGGGUGUAAAGGGAGCGUAGGCGGAAAGGGAAGUCAGAAGUGAAAAACCAAGGCUUAAACAUGGGACUGCGUAUGAAACUGUCAAACUAGAGUACGGGAGAGGUAAGAGGAAUUACAGGUGUAGCGGUGAAAUGCGUAGAUAUAAGGAGGAACACCAGUGGCGAAGGCGUCUUGCUGGAUCGAAACUGACGUUGAGGCUCGAAAGCGUGGGGAGCAAACAGGAUUAGAUACCCUUGUAGUC